Long non-coding RNA from Setaria italica (foxtail millet), 2887 nucleotides. RefSeq lists it as uncharacterized. The record is from RefSeq and is a predicted model, not a curated record. Lineage: Eukaryota; Viridiplantae; Streptophyta; Magnoliopsida; Poales; Poaceae. The transcript has 4 exons.
CACCCUCCCCCACGUUCUUUUUUUCUCAGCCGCCGCCGCCGCCUCUCCUCCUCCCUCCGCCCGUGCGUCGUGUCCCCAAGACAACAGAGCGUGGCGGCGGCGGUAGAAGCAGCACACGUUGGUCGCGGCGGUAGAAGCAGCACACGUUGGUCGCGGCGGUAGAAGCAGCACACGUUGGUCGCGGCGGUGGUGCGUCCCUCCACGGCGUGUCCCUCCCCCGCUGCCGGCGCCGUCACAUCCCUAUCUCCAUCGUUCCGCUCCAAUUGCUAGCGCUGCUGCCCCGGACCAGACGCCAUCGCCUGCAUCGUUCGCCGUCUGCCCGAUUUGCCAUAGUAGCUGCCCUCCUCCCCGUCCAUCUGCAACCAUGGAUCUCUAUGUGCGGCGGCAGCUCCAAUUGGCGGGAGUGGCGAUGGCCCGAAGAUGACCCAGCGGCGGCAUCUCCUUUAUGCGACAGCAGCACCCCUCUGCACCGGCGACCUCGCCUGGAGCAGCCGGCCGGUGAUGACGUCAGGUCCAGGGGAAAGCCGUGGAGAGACCCCGACCAGGUCUGUGGCAUCGCGGCGGCAGUUGUGCUUGGCGCUUGAGGUUCCCUACCAAUCCCAAUCUGUGCCUAAUCUUGAGGUGAGUAUUCGUUCAAAUCCACGCAUCCCCUUCAGGGUUGGCAUUCGUUCUUUAUGUUUUGGUCCUCCAAAUUUCGGAUUGAUCCAUGGACAAGGAACGGGAAGUUCCAGUUGUUUCUUUGGUGUGAAUGUAGAUUCCAUUGAUAUGAGUGAUUUACUUAUCUUGCUAUUAGAUUAGCCCAAAAUUUCCCCAAUAUCCACACUACAUUGUUUCCCCAACGCCUGCCUGCCAUCCGUCCUGUGAUUGCCACAUGUGAUGCUGGAGAUUUUUGCAAUUAGGUUCCUGCUUCACUCUGCAUCACUGGCCAGAUGUUUUUGUUGUGUUGUGAAUCACUGUUUUGACAGAUCAUUUAUAUGGUGGCAUAGUAUAUACUAAAAAACAAUGCUCAUCAUUCUGGUUACCACAUAUUUUUGGCAACGAGCUCUCUUUCUCUGAACAGAACCUAAUCUAUCUCAUUCUGUUUAUUUCAUCAAAUUCAGUUACUGAUGGGUUUGCUUGGAGUAGAGAAUUAUUCUGACAGAUUUCAAUGUAUCAUGAAACCUUUGUAAAUUUUCAUAUCAUCUACUGUUAGUUCAUUUCAUGAGAAUUAUUCUGACAGAUUUCAGGUGUUGGGCAAAUAAAAGGGAUAUGCCUAGCACUAUCACAUCAAAUUCUGCUACACAUUCGACACCAAGCAAUAUUUUGAAGCAGUGCUACCAAAUGUAUCAGAAUUCACAACUGUAGCUGUUCUUACUUUUGUGGUAUCAUUAUCCUGUGGCAUGCAAAUUAAGGAUUAGGCUGAAUUUCCUUUCUUUUCGAUCUCCAACUUUUGGACCCUCCUUUACAUUUUUGAAAUUUUACUUAUUCCUUUAGGUUUUAUUAUUCAAGGAUGGGUGCAAGCUUCUUCACUAACAAGGUUGUGUUUGAUUCACUGGCACAAAUGGAAAUCUUAAUAUUAUAACAGAAAUAGCAAAACUUGUUCCUGCAGUGUGAUACAGUGUGAAGGUACUUUGCCACGUUCCUCCUUUUAUGUAAGAUGGAUAUUAGCAUGAAAAGGUAUGGCUGUUGACAUGAGCUCUGAUAUUUAGAGGUAAUGUCACAUUGUAAGAUUUAUUAUCAGGUGAUUUCAUCAUUUAUUUUAAGUAAUAGGAGAAGAAUUAUGCUUUACUUUCUAAUAGAUCCAUCUACUGAAGGGUCAAAUUCUAAUUGAGUGAUAUAAGUUUGAGAGAGAUUUUUCAAGUUCAUCACAAGUGUCACUAUUUUUAGCCAAUGAAACUAUUUUUAUUGGUUCAAAUAUUCAUGCAUGUUACGUUUACUUACAAGAAAUGAAAUUCCCAACGGUACUGCAUUCACAAAUAGUGGAUUUAACAAGCUAAUUGCUGUAGGAUGCAUUCUGUUUUCUUUAGAAAUUAUGAUUCUUCUUGAUAAUACCAUUUGUAUAUAUCAUUCUAUUAUUAAUGGCAGAACCAUUGAUAUGCUUUACUAAAUCUCGUAAUUUGCCGGCUUUGGUUUGUUCAGGAAUAAAACAGCACUUUGCGUAUUUUCCUGAAUGUCUCCAGUGGCUUCAAGUUGAUGGAGAUGCAAGGAGAUCUGGCCAUAGGUCAUAGCUGCUUCCAUUUACACAAGGACAGGGCAUGCUGGAAGUAAUGGCCUUCAUGGUUAUCCCUUCAGUGGCUUCAUUCGGUUAUGGAAUACAUUAUGCAGGCACCAUUAACCAUUUUGCUGUCGGCUGCAUUCCCUCUCCCUCAACUGAGACAUCUCCUGGGUCUCCAUUCAGUGAAAUUGCUUGGACAAAGGUGCAUGCAUACCAUCAAAAGUUUAAUAGUUUUCAGAAAGCAGAUGUGUCCCCCUAGAGGGUGUGGGCAUCUGGCAGCUGAGCAUUAUUGUGAUUGAGAUGUUUCACGGGGGCUGAAGGCUAAAAAUAGGCUCCAGAAAAGAAAAAAAAAACUUAGAAAGUUAGGUCCAUAGGUGAUUCUGUAGGAGGAUUUUGUUACUUGCAUACUUUAAUACAUCAAUUCUAGAAGUAUCUCUCCUGUUACUUAGGUUGCCUAAGUACUUUUAAGUAUUAGUGUGUAAUCUCUAUUCCUAUUUAUUGGUAAUUGACAUAUUAGACAGUUUUAAUUUCUUCAUGUAAUCUGGGUAUAUGGAAUCUGACUGGUUGAUGUUAAACAGUUUUUUUUGUGUGUUUCUCUAUAUCUAAUUAGUAUAUUUAGCUAAGGCAUGCCCAGUAUUUUAGAUAAAGAGGUAUGUAUGACUAUGUUUUUUACAAUAUCGGGCACUUUGAAUU